GCGUUGUGUGAAAGGAGAGAAGCUUAGCGCUCCCCCACAAGGAUGGGAGAGGCCCUCAGGCCUGACAACACGCACAGUGUUAAGGCGUUGCCGCCUAUUUCCAGGCAUCUAACCAGUGGAUGAU
Molecule: small nuclear RNA, 124 nt
Organism: Octodon degus (degu)
Lineage: Eukaryota; Metazoa; Chordata; Mammalia; Rodentia; Octodontidae
Source: Ensembl